This 469-nucleotide ribosomal RNA is filed under the name uncultured bacterium. Its description in RNAcentral is "partial 16S ribosomal RNA". It matches the Rfam family "Bacterial small subunit ribosomal RNA", at positions 28 to 507 of the family's 1533-position model. The record is from RNAcentral.
GACGAACGCUGGCGGCGUGCUUAACACAUGCAAGUCGAACGGAAAGGCCCUGCUUUUGUGGGGUGCUCGAGUGGCGAACGGGUGAGUAACACGUGAGUAACCUGCCCUUGACUUUGGGAUAACUUCAGGAAACUGGGGCUAAUACCGGAUAGGAGCUCCUGCUGCAUGGUGGGGGUUGGAAAGUUUCGGCGGUUGGGGAUGGACUCGCGGCUUAUCAGCUUGUUGGUGGGGUAGUGGCUUACCAAGGCUUUGACGGGUAGCCGGCCUGAGAGGGUGACCGGGCACCGUGGGGACGGGUUGCGCGCCGGGCUCCUGCGGGGAGCCGCAGGGGGGGAUUAUUGAACAAGGGGCGGAGGCUGUAUGCACCACCCCCGCGUGGGGGAGGACGCCCUUCGGUUUUAAACCCGUUUCCGCCGGUGACGAAGGGGGAGUGAGGGUAAGGGAUAAAGAGCCACCGCCUACCUAGGUC